This 32-nucleotide non-coding RNA is filed under the name Mus musculus (house mouse). The record is from RNAcentral. Lineage: Eukaryota; Metazoa; Chordata; Mammalia; Rodentia; Muridae.
UAGGCAGUGUGAAGAAAGGAACCGUUCCGGCU